This 420-nucleotide ribosomal RNA is filed under the name uncultured prokaryote. RNAcentral describes it as "bacterial SSU rRNA". It matches the Rfam family "Bacterial small subunit ribosomal RNA", at positions 39 to 446 of the family's 1533-position model. The record is from RNAcentral.
GCGAUAGGCCUUACACAUGCAAGUCGAGGGGCAGCACGAAAGCGUAGCAAUACAAUUUUGGUGGCGACCGGCGCACGGGUGAGUAACGCGUAUGCAACCUACCUACUACUUUGGGAUAGCUCGUUGAAAGACGAAUUAAUACCUUAUAAAACAGGGGCUCCGCAUGGAGAUAUUUGUUAAAGAUUUAUCGGUAGUAGAUGGGCAUGCGUUCCAUUAGUUAGUUGGUGAGGUAACGGCUCACCAAGACAACGAUGGAUAGGGGAACUGAGAGGUUUGUCCCCCACACUGGAACUGAGACACGGUCCAGACUCCUACGGGAGGCAGCAGUGAGGAAUAUUGGUCAAUGGAGGCAACUCUGAACCAGCCAAGUCGCGUGAAGGAUGACUGCCCUACGGGUUGUAAACUUCUUUUUUAGGGAAU